This 2995-nucleotide long non-coding RNA is filed under the name Homo sapiens (human). RNAcentral's name for it is "HSALNT0292196". The record is from RNAcentral. Lineage: Eukaryota; Metazoa; Chordata; Mammalia; Primates; Hominidae.
AACACAAACAUUUGCAGAAUGAUGCUCUAUCACUGUGUGUCCAAGCCCCUACUGGCCUCAAGUGGUAAGAACUACCCAACUGCUGCUCAUCCUCAUUCUAAAAUGAUGAUCCUGGCUGUUGCCUAAUAAUUCAGUCUUUCCAGAUCCUAUCACAACUCCUGUGAGGCAAGCAGGACAGAGGUUAUCUCCAUUUUACAGGCAAGGAAACUGAGUCUUAACUGAGGGGUUUCAGAAAAGUGGCAGAGCUGGGACUUGAACCCAGGACUCAUGUCCCAAGUCCCAUACCCUUUCCAUAGCAUCAUGGUAGUAGGAAGCUGGGGGCUGUGCAUGGCAAAGUGAGCACUUAGGUCUUUAUGUUGCUGAUGGACUAGGUCAUUUGCCUUUUUCCAUCAGUAUCUGUUGCUUUGCCAGUAUUGUUUUUUGUGAACUGUCUGUCCAUCUGCAUUAUCAGAUUAUUUUUCAUAAGUAAUUGAAAUGGGACAUAGUAUAGUGUAGAGGAAUCAAAAGCGCAGACUUCUGUGUCAGACUUCUGGGUUCAAGUCCCAGCUCUACUACUCACUACCCAUGUGACCUUGGGCAAAUUAUUAUAUAUUAUAAAUACAGCACAUGGUAUUAUACUUUUAUAUCUUUAAAAUGGUGAUAUUACCUACCUCCUAGGGAUAUGGUAAGGAUUAAAUGAAAUAAUUUAUCUAAAAUGAAUAUAAAAUGCUUGGCACAACUUUGCCUAGUUCUAAGAGGGUGGAGAGUGGGAUGGGGUUGUUGAAUAGGGUCUAAAUUUUAAAAAGAUAUGUAAAAGCACAUUUUAAACUGAAAAGUGCUUGGAAAAUUUACUGUCUUUUUGAAAAACUAUGCCAUGCCAUCUUUCUCACUCUUAUAACCAUCUUCAUUGUAACAUUUGUGAAGCACUUUAUAGUUCAGAAAGCAUUUUUCCCUUAGAUCCUCCUGACAGCUCCCUGUGGUGUGAAAAGGAGCUAUCAUCUACACUUGCUGCAGGUGAGAUGACUGUCCCGGCAAUGGCCCAAGGCCCAUCCUCUCUCAAUGUGACUGUUUAUCCAUGUUACUCCAAGAGAAUCUAACAGUUAAGGGGAGAAAAAGCUGCACUGCUUGCUUCCAGAGCUAACUGUGUCCUCCCUGCUGUCCUCCCUGCUCUGGGCCACAGCGAACACUGGACAGUGAUAUUAAAACCUAGAGCAUGAGGAAGCCAGUGAGGAGAAGCUGGUGAGAGGCUCUGCCCUCAGAUGAGAGGAACUGGAAUUCACACAUGCUCCAUCUGCCUCUGCAAACUUCGGAUGACUCAGUGUCUACCCAGCGCCUGGUCAUCGGCAUUCCUGCCAAGUGGAUCUCAGGACAAAGAAAGGACAUGACUGCCUGAAGAGGGCCCAGACAUGCAGUGGGGCAGGUGCUGGCAUCUGAGAAAGUCCUAGGAGAGAACCUCCUCCAGUGUGUGAAGAGCUUCCCAAGCACCAGGUCCACUGACUGUGGCGUCAAAGACAGUGAAAAGCUGGCCUUGGGGUGAUGCCAUCCAGGAAGGCAUGCCAGAUCAGAUGCCCAGCUGACACUUCUGCCAGCCACCAGUCCCUGUCACUGUGCAUCUUUGCCAAGCUAAUGUGCUCCCUGGAGGAUGGGACCAGCACAGAGUCAGGUAGGGCCUGGGGCUGGGUGUGUGACCUGUGUGUAGUGAUGGAGACUAAUUCAAAGCAGGGUGGGAGUGAGACAGAAGUGUGGUACAAAUAGCAUGGAGAAUGGGCUCAAGGUGCAGGAAGGGGCAAGGAUGAAAGCUGAGUUACAGGCCAGCUCUGCCACUGACAAGCUGUGAUUUCCCUCACCCCAAAAUGACAGUAAUGACACUUCACCUCCCUGAAGGCAGGAGCCAGGUUAAAGGGGCAUGUUGGAGUGAUCUUAAAUGACAGCUGUGACUGUGACAGGAACCCCCUGUGUUUAUGAUUUGAGAUUUUAUGUAACUGCACUUGAAAUAUUCAUGUGUGUGGAUUUUGUAUAUGCAUGGGUAGUUGCAUGUUGUCUCCAGUGCAUGUACAUAAUCUGUGUCAUGUAUUACAUGUGUUCUAUAUGGGGGCAAGAACAGGUUACACGUUAUAUGUGAUAUACUAAUGUAUGAGUUACAUAUUGUACAGUUUGGGUGUUACAGUUUUUGGGUUUAUGGGCUACAUGUCAGUAUUAUGGCUGCUGUAUUGUUAUAAUUUAUCUGUUGUAUAUUGUAUUUAACUUGCAUAUGAACUCCAGACUCAUAUAUCCAGCUGCCUUCUCAAUAUCUCUACUUGGAUACCUAACCAGUUUUCUUAAACAUAACAUGUCCAAAACAGCCUAAGAUUCCUCCAAACCUGCUUCCCUCACCAUCUUUCCCAAGCCCAUACGUAGCAAUCUUAUUUUUUCAGUUGCUGUAACUUUUUUUUCCACAUUCCACAUUCAAUUCAUAAGCAAAUCCUGUUGGCUGGCCUUUGCACUAUAUCUGCAGUCUGUCCACUUUUCAUUAUUCCCACAGUAAUAAUGUGGGAAUAAGGGUUCAGCCACCAUCACCUCGCUUCUGGAUUAUUGCAAUGACCUCUUAAGUGGUUUCCCUGCCUUCUCCCUUGUCCUCUACAGUCUGUUCUCAAUACUGCAGUCAGAAUAAAAUGUCACACCAUGUCCCUUCCCUACUCAGAGCCCUCAAUGGUUUCCCCCCAGUUAGAGUGAAAUCCAGAGCUGGCUCUUACAAUGGUCUAGAAGGCCCUUUGGGCUGCCCCAAGCCACCUCUCUGGCUUCAUCUCUUCCUAGUUUCCUUGCUCCAACUGUACCAGCUUCCUUGCUAUUCCUUGAACAUACUAGGCAUGCUCCUGCAUUAGGGCUUUUGCGGUUUCUGUCUCUUCAGCCUGAAAUGCUUGUUCCUAUAGAUAAUUGCAUGGUAGCUUACUGUCUCACCUCCCUCACUCCCUUUUUAUUUAUUAUUAUUAUUAUUUUUUUUUUUAGAAAAGGUCUCACUCUGUCACCCAGGCUGGAG